RNAcentral lists this long non-coding RNA (66 nucleotides) under Mus musculus (house mouse). RNAcentral's name for it is "RIKEN cDNA A830082N09 gene (ENSMUSG00000112280.2)". Lineage: Eukaryota; Metazoa; Chordata; Mammalia; Rodentia; Muridae. The record is from RNAcentral.
UCUUUUGCUACUUGUGCCAAGACAUAUAAAAAUAUUAGUAGGAUAAAAAGGGAAACACUUGUGUAA